This 253-nucleotide ribosomal RNA is filed under the name uncultured bacterium. Its description in RNAcentral is "partial 16S ribosomal RNA". It matches the Rfam family "Bacterial small subunit ribosomal RNA", at positions 524 to 776 of the family's 1533-position model. The record is from RNAcentral.
UACAGAGGUCUCAAGCGUUGUUCGGAUUCAUUGGGCGUAAAGGGUGUGUAGGUGGCGCCGUAAGUCGGGUGUGAAAUUUCGGAGCUUAACUCCGAAACUGCAUUCGAUACUGCGGUGCUUGAGGACUGGAGAGGAGACUGGAAUUCAUGGUGUAGCGGUGGAAUGCGCAGAUAUCAGGAGGAACACCGGUGGCGAAGGCGGGUCUCUGGGCAGUAACUGACGCUGAGAAGCGAAAGCGUGGGGAGCGAACAGG